Long non-coding RNA from Zea mays, 996 nucleotides. RefSeq lists it as uncharacterized. The record is from RefSeq and is a predicted model, not a curated record. Lineage: Eukaryota; Viridiplantae; Streptophyta; Magnoliopsida; Poales; Poaceae. The transcript has 2 exons.
GCAUCAGGUAAAAGUUAUAUCCACCCGUCGCAUACUCCAACCCGCAGCAUCAACCAGACAUUCAUAUCACAUCAAUCUUAAUCUUGUUUCUUCCUGCUUCUCGCACAGAACAUCCGUCAUGCCAUCGACCGUACCCAAGCCCAAAGGGCACAGGAAGGUAUUACAUGCUAACCUGCAGCGCCUGUGGCGCUGAAGGAGAGUAUUAUUCAUCAUUGGCCGCGAUGAAUUCUCACAGCCUGUGGUGCGCUGCGGCACGAAAGAAAGCGGAGGCCAAUACCAAGAAGGCAGCGGCCGCCGCCCACCGGAAGCCCCACCGAGAAAAGAAGGCCAAAAAAAAUGGUGGAACUUGGAAGUCAGGAAAUCCAAAAUAUGGCAAGUGAAGUCUUCAGCUGAGAUUUUUGGUGGGGUCAAAAGACUCUUGUUAGCUGAAGUUUUCAGUUCUCAUAUUUUGUCUGCAAUUCAGUGUGAUGUCCAAAAAACCUGUCUGUUACAUGGUGUCUUCUGGCCCAUGUCUAUGCUUGUAUCGCCUUGUUAAAGACGAUGUCUCCUUCGCUUUGAUUCUGGUAUAGUGCUUUGGGCUAUGUUGGGUGGGGUCAUUCUCUCACCUCUACUAAGCAUGCUCGAUUAGGAAGGUUUGUCCUGCCUCUUCCCUGACAUUUAUGAGUUACUGAUAGAAGUUGAAUGCAUAACUGCAUAUAAAUUUGUGUGAUCCAGGAACAAAUUGGUAAAUAUGUGCCCAGGUUUGUGCAUGUGUGCCAACCAGGUACAGCUCCUGCAGCUGUGGUAAGAAACUGUAGAAGGUUCAGGUAGUGGAGAAGCAUUCCACUUAAAUCAAAGUACUUCAAGUUUGAACAAAGACACAAUAUCUGUGGAUGAUAUCUUCAAGAAAAGUGUGUUUUAUGAUUUUGCGUUAAGAAAUGUUCGAGAGGAUGGGAUAUUGCCAUAUAUUUGUAUGUAACAGUGAAGUACGCCCUCUCAAAUUUGAUAUUGCUUUCA